Long non-coding RNA from Vigna radiata var. radiata (mung bean), 288 nucleotides. RefSeq lists it as uncharacterized. Lineage: Eukaryota; Viridiplantae; Streptophyta; Magnoliopsida; Fabales; Fabaceae. The transcript is spliced from 2 exons. The record is from RefSeq and is a predicted model, not a curated record.
AUAGGCGAUUCCGGCAUCGUGGGCUUCAAAAUCAACCGAUCAAUUUGGGUGUUGUUCAUUGGGUGGGUCUAGCAUUCUUGAGUCACAAAAGAACUAUUGGGGUUUCCGUGGUACUGUGCAGUGAAAUUUUGAGUAGCUGAUGAUGUGCCCUUGAAGCAAGCACUGGAGAAUGAAGAAGGUGUAGCCGCCUAGUGCUUAGGAUUAUUCUUAGUUGACUUAUCUAUUUUGAAAUAUAUCCUUUGUAAGUAAAGUUUUAAAUUUAUGAUCUAUUUUGGAUGACUGUAAAAA